UCAAAAGUGAGUAACAUGUAGUUCCACUUGAUCAAUUCCUAAAUUUGAAAGAAAUGUGAUUUUGGACUCAAUUGUGAUCGUUAAUCAACAACUGUAUAUGGAUGUGUUUGUUUUGUUGAGCAGUUGUUGACGGGCAUAUAAAAAGACCACAAGAUCACAAACAAGUCUCAGCGUUUAUGGUUGCCUUUUAAGAUUCAUUUGGCAUUAAAUCGGUCAUACCGGUGUUUUAAUGAACAUCUGUCCUUGUCGCAAACUAGUCUAAGCGUUUAUGCUUCUUAUGUUUUACUGAACAUCUAUCGUUGUCGUUCUUCAUUAUUGAAGUGCUAUUAGCUCGACUGCCGAGGAAUUCUGAUUUGAAUUUAUAACACGGCUGGAACUCCAGUGAAGCCGUAUAUCUGCACUAUGCCGCUGAGGAUGGAUGAUGGCUGGAAUCAAAUCCAGUUUAAUCUAACUGAUUUUGUCAGGAGAGCCCAUGGAACAAACUAUGUGGAGACGUUGCGAGUUCAGGUUCAUGCAAAUUGCCGUCUGAGGAGGAUACAUUUCUCUGACCGCUUGUACUCCGAAGAGGAACUUCCUCCCGAGUUUUAGAUUGAUCCGGUAUUCUAAUGCUCGUAAUCAUGCUUCUGUACCUUGUUGUUUGAUGUCCACUCAUUGACUAUAAUGUUUGUGCUGCACAGAAAGCGUGAUAUGAUGCAACAAAGGAGGGAUCGAAAGCAUUGGAGCUGGAUUUUGAGACUUUUUCAGAUUGUAAUUUGUGCUAGUGUGGCUUUUCAAAAACAAUAAAGAAACAACUAAGUUGUAACAGAGCAUAUUUUAUGCAGAGAGUAAUUUGUGUGGAUCCAAAUCAAAUAUAAGCAUGAAGCAGAACUAACUGUAAUGUUUGCUUGUUUCAUUUA
Molecule: long non-coding RNA, 896 nt
Organism: Pyrus x bretschneideri (Chinese white pear)
Lineage: Eukaryota; Viridiplantae; Streptophyta; Magnoliopsida; Rosales; Rosaceae
Exons: 2
Source: RefSeq, a predicted model, not a curated record